This is a non-coding RNA of Stegodyphus dumicola, 73 nucleotides long. The record is from the annotation of a RefSeq genome assembly. NCBI's taxonomy places the organism in Eukaryota, Metazoa, Arthropoda, Arachnida, Araneae, Eresidae.
GCUUUCGUAGUGUAGUGGUCAGCACGCUGGACGAGCAUUCCAGAGGUUCGUGAUUCGAUUCCACGCGAAGGCU